AGGACGAACGCUGGCGGCGCGCUUAACACAUGCAAGUCGAACGUGAAGCUGGAGCUUGCUCCGGUGGAAAGUGGCGAACGGGUGCGUAACACGUGAGCAACCUGCCCCGAAGACUGGGAUAACACCGGGAAACCGGUGCUAAUACCGGAUACCUUCUUCCGAUCGCAUGGUUGGAUGAAGAAAUGGAUUCCGCUUCGGGAUGGGCUCGCGGCCUAUCAGCUUGUUGGUGAGGUAACGGCCCACCAAGGCGACGACGGGUAGCUGGUCUGAGAGGACGACCAGCCACACUGGGACUGAGACACGGCCCAGACUCCUACGGGAGGCAGCAGUGGGGAAUCUUGCUCAAUGGGCGAAAGCCUGAAGCAGCGACGCCGCGUGCGGGAUGAAGGCCCUCGGGUUGUAAACCGCUUUCAGCAGGGACGAAAUUGACGGUACCUGCAGAAGAACGGCCCGGCCAACUACGCGCCAGCAGCCGC
Molecule: ribosomal RNA, 476 nt
Filed under: uncultured bacterium
Lineage: Bacteria
Description: SSU rRNA
Rfam family: Bacterial small subunit ribosomal RNA
Source: RNAcentral